AGCGAACGCUGGCGGCAGGCUUAACACAUGCAAGUCGAGCGCCCGUAGCAAUACGGAGCGGCAGACGGGAGAGUAACACGUGGGACAUGCCCUUCGGUUCGGAAUAACUCAGGGAAACUUGAGCUAAUACCGGAUACGUCCGUAAGGAGAAAGAUUUAUCGCCGAAGGAUUGGCCCGCGUCCGAUUAGCUUGUUGGUGAGGUAAUGGCUCACCAAGGCGACGAUCGGUAGCUGGCUGAGAGGAUGAUCAGCCU
This 253-nucleotide ribosomal RNA is filed under the name uncultured bacterium. RNAcentral's name for it is "partial 16S ribosomal RNA". It matches the Rfam family "Bacterial small subunit ribosomal RNA", at positions 29 to 310 of the family's 1533-position model. The record is from RNAcentral.